Molecule: ribosomal RNA, 497 nt
Filed under: uncultured bacterium
Lineage: Bacteria
Description: partial 16S ribosomal RNA
Rfam family: Bacterial small subunit ribosomal RNA
Source: RNAcentral
GAUGAACGCUGGCGGCGUGCCUAAUACAUGCAAGUCGAGCGAACAGACGAGGAGCUUGCUCCUCUGACGUUAGCGGCGGACGGGUGAGUAACACGUGGAUAACCUACCUAUAAGACUGGGAUAACUUCGGGAAACCGGAGCUAAUACCGGAUAAUAUAUUGAACCGCAUGGUUCAAUAGUGAAAGACGGUUUUGCUGUCACUUAUAGAUGGAUCCGCGCCGCAUUAGCUAGUUGGUAAGGUAACGGCGUACCAAGGCCACGAUGCGUAGCCGACCUGAGAGGGUGGGCGGGGACAGGGGAGGGGGGACGGGGUGCAGAGGCGGGCGGGGGGCAGGAGUAGGGAAUCGGGGGCAAGGGGCGGAAGGGUGACGGAGCAACGCGGGGUGAGUGAUGAAGGUCUUGGGAUCGGAAAACGCUGUUAUUGGGGAGGGAGAAGUGGGUAAGUAAGUAUGGACGGCGUGACGGUACCUGGUCGGAAGGCCACGGCUGACUACGUG